Molecule: ribosomal RNA, 483 nt
Filed under: Epitonium ancillotoi
Lineage: Eukaryota; Metazoa; Mollusca; Gastropoda; Epitoniidae
Description: partial 16S ribosomal RNA
Rfam family: Bacterial large subunit ribosomal RNA
Source: RNAcentral
GUCUUCUUGUAGUCUAAAAUAGGAAGUCGAGCCUGCCCGGUGAUAAAUUUUAACGGCCGCGGUAUCCUGACCGUGCGAAGGUAGCGUAAUCAUUUGCCUUAUAACUGAAGGCCUGUAUGAAUGGCUUGACGAGGGUUUGACUGUCUCUAACUUAAUUGUGUAGAAUUUAACUUUUAGGUGAAAAGGCCUGGAUAAAAUUAAAAGACGAGAAGACCCUAUUGAGCUUUUGAAUAUUUUUGGUAUAAUAACGGAAAAUUCUUUAAUUGGGGCAAUUAAGGAACAAAAAAAGCUUCUUUAUACAAAUAGGUUUACGAAUAUUGAUCCACUUUUAGUGAUUAUAGGACUAAGUUACCAUAGGGAUAACAGCGUUAUCUUUCUUGAGAGUUCUUAUUAAAAGAAAGGUUUGCGACCUCGAUGUUGGACUAAAGUGUCCUGUAGAUGCAGAAGUCUUCAAGGGUUGGUCUGUUCGACCAUUAAAACUUU